RNAcentral lists this ribosomal RNA (472 nucleotides) under uncultured organism. RNAcentral's name for it is "partial 16S ribosomal RNA". It matches the Rfam family "Bacterial small subunit ribosomal RNA", at positions 335 to 799 of the family's 1533-position model. The record is from RNAcentral.
ACUCCUACGGGAGGCAGCAGUGGGGAAUUUUGGACAAUGGGCGAAAGCCUGAUCCAGCAAUGCCGCGUGAGUGAAGAAGGCCUUCGGGUUGUAAAGCUCUUUUGUCAGGGAAGAAACGGUGAAAGCUAAUAUCUUUUGCUAAUGACGGUACCUGAAGAAUAAGCACCGGCUAACUACGUGCCAGCAGCCGCGGUAAUACGUAGGGUGCAAGCGUUAAUCGGAAUUACUGGGCGUAAAGCGUGCGCAGGCGGUUUUGUAAGUCUGAUGUGAAAUCCCCGGGCUCAACCUGGGAAUUGCAUUGGAGACUGCAAGGCUAGAAUCUGGCAGAGGGGGGUAGAAUUCCACGUGUAGCAGUGAAAUGCGUAGAUAUGUGGAGGAACACCGAUGGCGAAGGCAGCCCCCUGGGUCAAGAUUGACGCUCAUGCACGAAAGCGUGGGGAGCAAACAGGAUUAGAUACCCUGUAGUCCCAUG